This 377-nucleotide ribosomal RNA is filed under the name uncultured Candidatus Altimarinota bacterium. RNAcentral describes it as "bacterial SSU rRNA". It matches the Rfam family "Bacterial small subunit ribosomal RNA", at positions 521 to 896 of the family's 1533-position model. Lineage: Bacteria; Candidatus Altimarinota. The record is from RNAcentral.
UAAUACGUAAGUCGCAAGCGUUAUCCGGAAUUAUUGGGCGUAAAGCGUCCGUAGGCGAUUCAAUCAGUCUGAUGUUAAAUCUCAGGGCUCAACCCUGAAAUCGUAUCGGAAACUAUUGAGAUAGAGUAGUGCAGGGGCAGAUGGAAUUCCAGAAGUAGGGGUAAAAUCCGUAGAUCUCUGGAGGAACACCAAACGCGAAGGCAUUCUGCUGGGCACUCACUGACGCUAAGGGACGAAAGCAUGGGUAGCGAACGGGAUUAGAUACCCCGGUAGUCCAUGCCGUAAACGAUGGAUACUCGGUAUCGGAGGCUUCGACCCCCUCGGUGCCUAAGCUAACGCAUUAAGUAUCCCGCCUGGGUAGUACGGCCGCAAGGUUA